RNAcentral lists this ribosomal RNA (388 nucleotides) under uncultured bacterium. RNAcentral's name for it is "bacterial SSU rRNA". It matches the Rfam family "Bacterial small subunit ribosomal RNA", at positions 28 to 417 of the family's 1533-position model. The record is from RNAcentral.
GACGAACGCUGGCGGCGUGCUUAACACAUGCAAGUCGAGCGGUAAGGCCCUUUCGGGGGUACACGAGCGGCGAACGGGUGAGUAACACGUGGGUGACCUGCCCUCAGCUCUGGGAUAAGCCUGGGAAACCGGGUCUAAUACCGGAUAUGACUCCAUGACGCAUGUUGUGGGGUGGAAAGCCUUGUGCGGCUGAGGAUGGGCCCGCGGCCUAUCAGCUUGUUGGUGGGGUGAGGCCUACCAAGGCGACGACGGGUAGCCGGCCUGAGAGGGCGACCGGCCACACUGGGACUGAGACACGGCCCAGACUCCUACGGGAGGCAGCGAGUGGGGAAUCUUGCGCAAUGGGCGAAAGCCUGACGCAGCGACGCCGCGUGAGGGAUGACGGCCU